CCUACGGGUGGCUGCAGUGGGGAAUAUUGCUCAAUGGGCGAAACCCUGAUGCAGCGACGCCGCGUGAGGGAAGACAUCUCUCGGUAUUUAAAGCUCUUUCUGUAGGGAAGAAGAAAGACGGUACCUGACUAAGAAGCAUCGGCUAAAUACGUGCGCGCAGCCUAGGUCCUAGGUAGGGGGCAAGCGUUUUCCGGAUUUGCGUGGGUUAACGGGAGUGUAGACGGCUGUGCAAGGCUGAAGGGAAAGCCCAGGGCUCAACCCUGGGACUGCUUUGGAAACUGUGGAGGUAGAGUGAUGGAGGGGUAAGUGGAAGUCCUGGUGUAGCGGUGAAAUGCUUAGAUAUUAGGAGGAACACCAGUGGCGAAGGCAGCGUACUGGACAGAAACUGACGCUGAGGCUCGAAAGCGUGGGUAGCAAACAGGAUUAGAUACCCGAGUAGUC
Molecule: ribosomal RNA, 441 nt
Filed under: uncultured bacterium
Lineage: Bacteria
Description: partial 16S ribosomal RNA
Rfam family: Bacterial small subunit ribosomal RNA
Source: RNAcentral